RNAcentral lists this non-coding RNA (21 nucleotides) under Caenorhabditis elegans. Lineage: Eukaryota; Metazoa; Nematoda; Chromadorea; Rhabditida; Rhabditidae. The record is from RNAcentral.
UUGGAUCUUUCAAAUUUUUUU